AUUGAACGCUGGCGGCAGGCCUAACACAUGCAAGUCGGGCGAGUGGCGGACGGGUGAGUAAUGUCUGGGGAACUGCCUGAUGGAGGGGGAUAACUACUGGAAACGGUAGCUAAUACCGCAUACCAUCAGCUGGACCCAGAUGGGAUUAGCUUGUGGGUGGGGUAACGGCUCACCUAGGCGACGAUCCCUCGCUGGUCUGAGAGGAUGAUCAGCCACACUGGAACUGAGACACGGCCCAGACUCCUACGGGAGGCAGCAGUGGGGAAUAUUGCACAAUGGGCGCAAGCCUGAUGCAGCCAUGCCGCGUGUAUGAAGAAGGCCUUCGGGUUGUAAAGUACUUUCAGUCGGGAGGCGUUACCGACAGAAGAAGCACCGGCUAACUCCGUGCCAGCAGCCGCGGUAAUAC
Molecule: ribosomal RNA, 406 nt
Filed under: uncultured bacterium
Lineage: Bacteria
Description: partial 16S ribosomal RNA
Rfam family: Bacterial small subunit ribosomal RNA
Source: RNAcentral